CCUUCGGCUCUUGCCAGAAAAACUGCCUUCGCCGGAAUCUCUGGACGGAUUCCGGCAACUUGCCAGAAUUUGGCCAUAGUCUCCCCGUAAACUCUGAAUCACCAAGUUAUCGACAAGCAACACAAAAAUGCACCCAAUCAGUCUGAAUAUCCACACAACAACUAUAUAACAUCAAAGGUGAUCGAGAUUACCUUCCAUCGAUCUCAAGUGUUAUCCCAAGAAAUCCCUUGGUCCGGACUCAAUAUGCAGGAACCCCAAACAUCCACAACCGCUGCCUCCUUCUUCACUGCAACAACACCACUCACCUCAGAUCCUCUCCAGUCAAGCACUUCCGACCUCUGCCUUGGUCCCGAUCGAUAUGUAACUCCACCAAUGACCGUUUCAACUUCACACCAAGCUCACCAAACCUACCAAAACGCUGAAGAACUCGCCGGAAACCACCGAACGCCAGUCGCCGGAGCUAGAAACCGGAACCCAGAAAACAGAGAAGAAAGGGCUUUUAGAAAGGUACCAGAAGGUGAAAUAGGAAGAGAGGAAAAUAAUCUUACCUCCCCCUCGUCACGCCGUGGCCGGAAAUUUCGAGGAUUCGCCAGAAAACAGCCGAGGCUUCUCUCCCUUGGUUUGGCUUUGAAUCGGACUACAAACGAGUUCUAUGGACCGGGUUAGAUAGAAGAGAAGGAGAGUAAGAGAUUGGAGGUGGUCUCGUCGCCAGGGGUGGCCGGAAACGGCGGGGUCGUGCGAAGGAUGCUGGAGGCAGGCGGAGAGAGGGAGACCGGAGCUCGGGUCAACGCCUGUGUAGGCUUUUGACUAGAGUUAAAAAUCUCUUCCCUUUUUAAAAGAAAAUGGAAGGUUGAGAUUGAAACCCUAUUGAUCCAACAAUCCAGAUUAAAAGUUAUAUUCUGGUUUCAGAAAAAUAAUUAUAAUAGCAAACCUUCAAUAAAACGUAGAAAAUACCUCGAAACUCCGAAAAAUAAUCUGAGGACACCGGUGAACUUGUGUCAACACAAACUACAACAUCAAGAUCUUAACAGAGGGAUUUGACAUUUCGAGAAAAACUCGAAAAUAAACUAGAGUGUUAACUUAUUAAGUUACCAAGCGUGGUUAUAUUUCUCAGUAACUCGUAGACCCAGUAAAUAGGUAAAAUUUGGUCCGGGGGUGUUACAAACUAGUAACAAAACAAUAAUUUCUACAAAACCAAAAUUAAAACAGAAAAUGGAAUAAAGUGAUCUACUUGCAGACAACAAAGUCAUUAAGAUUAUGGUCUGAGUUAACAAAAUUAAAAAAAGGUAUAUAAAUAGAAAAAGAGUAAAACAAAUAUAAAGAAA
This 1325-nucleotide long non-coding RNA is filed under the name Fragaria vesca (wild strawberry). RNAcentral describes it as "long non-coding RNA (FVES_LNC005546)". The record is from RNAcentral. Lineage: Eukaryota; Viridiplantae; Streptophyta; Magnoliopsida; Rosales; Rosaceae.